UACGGGGGGGGCAAGCGUUGUUCGGAAUUACUGGGCGUAAAGGGCUCGUAGGCGGCCAACUAAGUCAGACGUGAAAUCCCUCGGCCCAACUGAGGAACUGCGCCCGAGACUGCUUCUCUUGAGUCCCGGAGAGGAAGAUGGAAUUCCCGGUGUAGCGGUGAAAUGUGUAGAGAUCGGGAGGAACACCGGUGGCGAAGGCGGUCUUCUGGACGGUGACUGACGCUGAGGAGCGAAAGCGUGGGGAGCGAACAGG
RNAcentral lists this ribosomal RNA (253 nucleotides) under uncultured bacterium. Its description in RNAcentral is "partial 16S ribosomal RNA". It matches the Rfam family "Bacterial small subunit ribosomal RNA", at positions 524 to 776 of the family's 1533-position model. The record is from RNAcentral.